GAGCUUGCUCUCCGGGUGACGAGCGGCGGACGGGUGAGUAAUGUCUGGGAAACUGCCUGAUGGAGGGGGAUAACUACUGGAAACGGUAGCUAAUACCGCAUAACGUCUUCGGACCAAAGUGGGGGACCUUCGGGCCUCAUGCCAUCAUAUGUGCCCAGAUGGGAUUAGCUAGUAGGUGGGGUAAUGGCUCACCUAGGCGACGAUCCCUAGCUGGUCUGAGAGGAUGACCAGCCACACUGGAACUGAGACACGGUCCAGACUCCUACGGGAGGCAGCAGUGGGGAAUAUUGCACAAUGGGCGCAAGCCUGAUGCACCCAUGCCGCGUGUAUGAAGAAGGCCUUCGGGUUGUAAAGUACUUUCAGCGAGGAGGAAGGCAUUAAGGUUAAUAACCUUAGUGAUUGACGUUACUCGCAGAAGAAGCACCGGCUAACUCCGUGCCAGCAGCCGCGGUAAUACGGAGGGUGCGAGCGUUAAUCGGAAUUACUGGGCGUAAAGCGCACGCAGGCGGUCUGUCAAGUCGGAUGUGAAAUCCCCGGGCUCAACCUGGGAACUGCAUUCGAAACUGGCAGGCUAGAGUCUUGUAGAGGGGGGUAGAAUUCCACGUGUAGCGGUGAAAUGCGUAGAGAUCUGGAGGAAUACCGGUGGCGAAAGGCGGCCCCUCUGGACAAAGACUGACGCUCAGUGCGAAAGCGUGGGGAGCAAA
RNAcentral lists this ribosomal RNA (704 nucleotides) under Raoultella sp. Its description in RNAcentral is "bacterial SSU rRNA". It matches the Rfam family "Bacterial small subunit ribosomal RNA", at positions 76 to 772 of the family's 1533-position model. The record is from RNAcentral. Lineage: Bacteria; Pseudomonadati; Pseudomonadota; Gammaproteobacteria; Enterobacterales; Enterobacteriaceae.